Molecule: long non-coding RNA, 2625 nt
Filed under: Oncorhynchus kisutch (coho salmon)
Lineage: Eukaryota; Metazoa; Chordata; Actinopteri; Salmoniformes; Salmonidae
Description: lncRNA (ENSOKIG00005013871.1)
Source: RNAcentral
GAACCAAGUCAAGCGCUUGUGCGCGCUGUCACGUGACGCCGACCGCGCCAUGUUUCCAUCUGCGCGUCAGAAGUUUGCGGGCAGGCAGGGCAAGGUAGCAACAGGAACAAAGUUUGGGACGGACUCCCUCGUUAGCUGAGCGGGUUUCUCCCGUAAAAUGAGCUAACAUUUUUUCAUCAACAAAAAAACCGAACACACCCGAUAACCAUCAGGAAGACAACGGACCCACAAACAGCAGUUUCUUAGAUGCUUUGGAAAAUUGCUAUAGUGAAGUGUGUGUAUGUGCUGGACUGUGCUUUUUUAGCAUAGUUUGGAGUGCCCCCGCCUCUUAAAAUGGCUUAAAGGUCCUCGUGUUGAUAUAUUUUAACAUUUAAGAUAGGGUAUUUUUGUUAGCUUCUAAUUUUUCACAAAUACAGCGAACUUUUAAUGAUAUAUUUUUGUGCCAAAAUACGCGGAUUUUCCACGAUCGCGCCCCCUGAUUGACAGGAGCGAAGGUGACGUUGGAUUUGAAGAAGUGGGACUCCUUUAAAAAAGUUAACAGAUUAACAUUCUAACGGAGGUAAACAGACGAGGACCUGGUGGACAAAAUGGCCACCAUGGCGUCACCUGGCGACGCUAUCGAGGGAGCAGCCAAUGAUGAGUUCAAUGACAUCAUCAAAUGGAGAUCUGAUGAGCACGAUGCAGUACAGAAGAAAACCUUCACCAAAUGGAUAAAUGCACAGUUCUCCAAGGUAAUGCCAAAGUGUGGUAGGCUAUAUCCGAGCCUGUUCACACAAAGGUUGCUUAGUUAAACCCACCAAUAACUUUAGUUAAACCCAUCACUAAUUUAACUUAAGCCCAUCACUAAUUUAAGUUAAACCCACCAAUUAUUUUUGUUAAAUCCACCAGCACCAGCUAAGAAAAAUAUUGUUCUGGAAACCUCCAACACUGAUGCUGAACUGAGCUAGGAGUUUGAAGACGGGCUGAAUGAAGUAGUGUGAGCAGGUUAUUUCUGUCCAAACAGACUGUUUCAGACUAAUAACUUCCCCUUUGAACACUAACCCUGACCUUCUCUUCCCAGGCCCAGGAGAAUAACAGAUUCACUGCAGGAAAGAAUAGAUAGCCUAGCGGAGCACUAAGAGGACAUUAGCAUGGCUGACUCCCCUAUUACAGUGUAUACAGGGAAAACGCUUCAACGCUAACUCAAUUUAGCUAUUGUCUUCUUGAUAAAUGAAUUGGUCUUCACUUGAGUCUGGUUAAUCUUCUCUGUGUUAAUCAGAAACAUGCUAAUGUAACAUUGAUGCUUCUGUCCCUCUCCUCGCCCCAACCUGGGCUCAAACCAGGGACCCUCGGUCUCCCACAAAGCAUUGUUACCUAUCACUCCAUAAGAGCCUUGGCCCUUGUAGAGCAAGAGUAACAACUGCUUCAAGGUUUCAGAGCAAGUGACGUCAACGAUUGAUACGCUACAAGCGCGUAGCGCUAACUAGCUAGCCAUUUCACACCAUUUACAUUAACGCACGCUAAUGCUGGUCUGAUAAUGGACCUUGUGUGUGUGGUCUUGUUUUAGCUAUGUUCCCUCACUCCCACAGGGUAGUUAACAGAAAUAUUUUAAACAUGCUUAUACAAUUUCACUAAUUAGUUUUCCAUAAAUACAUGUAUGGACUCUAGUUUUUUUCUUUUUCUCAUUCGCUCUCAUCUCUCUCUCUCUCUCUCUCUCUCCCCCCUUCUCCCUCUCCUUUUCUGUCUGUAGCCCCCCCCCUCUCUCUCGCUCCCCCUUCUCCCUCUCUUUUUCUCUCUGUAGCCCCCCCCUCUCUCGCUCUCCCCCUUCUCCCUCUCUUUUUCUCUCUGUAGCCCCCCUUUCUCUCUCUCUCCAACUUUAUUAUUCCUCUCCUCUGUUAGCUCUGUGUUUCCCUCCUCUCCUCUGUGUUUGUUAGCUCUGUGUGUUUCCCUCCUCUCCUCUGUGUUUGUUAGCUCUGUGUGUUUCCCUCCUCUCCUCUGUGUUUGUUAGCUCUGUGUGUUUCCCUCCUCUCCUCUGUGUUUGUUAGCUCUGUGUGUUUCCCUCCUCUCCUCUGUGUUUGUUAGCUCUGUGUGUUUCCCUCCUCUCCUCUGUGUUUGUUAGCUCUGUGUGUUUCUCUCCUCUCCUCUGUGUUUGUUAGCUCUGUGUUUCCCUCCUCUCCUCUGUGUCUGUUAGCUCUGUGUUUCUCUCCUCUCCUCUGUGUUUGUUAGCUCUGUGUGUUUCUCUCCUCUCCUCUGUGUUUGUUAGCUCUGUGUGUUUCUCUCCUCUCCUCUGUGUUUGUUAGCUCUGUGUGUUUCCCUCCUCUCCUCUGUGUUUGUUAGCUCUGUGUGUUUCCCUCCUCUCCUCUGUGUUUGUUAGCUCUGUGUGUUUCCCUCCUCUCCUCUGUGUUUGUUAGCUCUGUGUGUUUCCCUCCUCUCCUCUGUGUUUGUUAGCUCUGUGUGUUUCUCUCCUCUCCUCUGUGUUUGUUAGCUCUGUGUUUCCCUCCUCUCCUCUGUGUCUGUUAGCUCUGUGUUUCUCUCCUCUCCUCUGUGUUUGUUAGCUCUGUGUGUUUCUCUCCUCUCCUCUGUGUUUGUUAGCUCUGUGUGUUUCUCUCCUCUCCUCUGUGUUUGUUAGCUCUGUGUGUUUCUCUC